UAACGCGUGAGCAAUCUGCCUUUCAGAGGGGGAUAACAGCCGGAAACGGCUGCUAAUACCGCAUAAUGCAUCGGAUUCGCAUGUUUCUGAUGCCAAAGAUUUUAUCGCUGAAAGAUGAGCUCGCGUCUGAUUAGCUAGUUGGCGGGGUAACGGCCCACCAAGGCGACGAUCAGUAGCCGGACUGAGAGGUUGAACGGCCACAUUGGGACUGAGACACGGCCCUUACUCCUACGGGAGGCAGCAGUGGGGAAUAUUGGACAAUGGACCAAAAGUCUGAUCCAGCAAUUCUGUGUGCACGAUGAAGUUUUUCGGAAUGUAAAGUGCUUUCAGUUGGGACGAAGUAAGUGACGGUACCAACAGAAGAAGCGACGGCUAAAUACGUGCCAGCAGCCGCGGUAAUACGUAUGUCGCAAGCGUUAUCCGGAUUUAUUGGGCGUAAAGCGCGUCUAGGCGGUUUGGUAAGUCUGAUGUGAAAAUGCGGGGCUCAACUCCGUAUUGCGUUGGAAACUGCCAAACUAGAGUACUGGAGAGGUGGGCGGAACUACAAGUGUAGAGGUGAAAUUCGUAGAUAUUUGUAGGAAUGCCGAUGGGGAAGCCAGCCCACUGGACAGAUACUGACGCUAAAGCGCGAAAGCGUGGGUAGCAAACAGG
Molecule: ribosomal RNA, 651 nt
Filed under: uncultured bacterium
Lineage: Bacteria
Description: bacterial SSU rRNA
Rfam family: Bacterial small subunit ribosomal RNA
Source: RNAcentral